AUGGAGCAAGCACUCAUCCAGGCUACAACAAAUCGUCUACAUACAGGGGUGUUUGGGAAAACCGAAACUAUUCCAAAUCAUUUCCAAAUGAGUAUCUACACACAACACCACUGGCUACAGCUCUGUGUUCCCCUAUAGGUGACACUAUGUCUCUGCCACAGAUGGACCUUCGACUACCAGAAGUAAUCACAUUGGCUAGCCUUAAGCCAGGAGCCCUUGGUGUCUGUGUGUAUAAUAAUGGCACAACCCUUCUGGGGACUGUCCCAUGGAACCUGUGUAACAAAAUCUAUACUUUCUGUGACAAGAAGGCAGACUUUUUCAACUGUGAUGACUGCCAAGCGACGAACCACAUCAGUACUGCCUGUUCCAAAAGAUGGAAGUCUGACCGCAACUGUACCAGCUAUAACCUUGUGCAGCACCAUUGUUCCAGGGAACAGAGGAUCCAGGACAAUGGCAGACUGUGACUUUCCUGAAAAGGUCCAGGAUGCUCACAGCCAUGGACGCUACCGCACUAGGAGAGACGUCAUGCCGAAAGUCCAAAGGUGGGGACGCUGUACUA
Molecule: long non-coding RNA, 559 nt
Organism: Xiphophorus couchianus (Monterrey platyfish)
Lineage: Eukaryota; Metazoa; Chordata; Actinopteri; Cyprinodontiformes; Poeciliidae
Exons: 2
Source: RefSeq, a predicted model, not a curated record